RNAcentral lists this ribosomal RNA (630 nucleotides) under Enterobacter sp. C6. RNAcentral's name for it is "partial 23S ribosomal RNA". It matches the Rfam family "Bacterial large subunit ribosomal RNA", at positions 2189 to 2818 of the family's 2925-position model. The record is from RNAcentral. Lineage: Bacteria; Pseudomonadati; Pseudomonadota; Gammaproteobacteria; Enterobacterales; Enterobacteriaceae.
UCCUUGAAAUACCACCCUUUAAUGGCUGGUGUUCUAACGUAGACCCGUGAUCCGGGUUGCGGACAGUGUCUGGUGGGUAGUUUGACUGGGGCGGUCUCCUCCCAAAGAGUAACGGAGGAGCACGAAGGUUAGCUAAUCCUGGUCGGACAUCAGGAGGUUAGUGCAAUGGCAUAAGCUAGCUUGACUGCGAGAGUGACGGCUCGAGCAGGUGCGAAAGCAGGUCAUAGUGAUCCGGUGGUUCUGAAUGGAAGGGCCAUCGCUCAACGGAUAAAAGGUACUCCGGGGAUAACAGGCUGAUACCGCCCAAGAGUUCAUAUCGACGGCGGUGUUUGGCACCUCGAUGUCGGCUCAUCACAUCCUGGGGCUGAAGUAGGUCCCAAGGGUAUGGCUGUUCGCCAUUUAAAGUGGUACGCGAGCUGGGUUUAGAACGUCGUGAGACAGUUCGGUCCCUAUCUGCCGUGGGCGCUGGAGAAUUGAGGGGGGCUGCUCCUAGUACGAGAGGACCGGAGUGGACGCAUCACUGGUGUUCGGGUUGUCAUGCCAAUGGCACUGCCCGGUAGCUAAAUGCGGAAAAGAUAAGUGCUGAAAGCAUCUAAGCACGAAACUUGCCCCGAGAUGAGUUCUCCCUGA